AAAAUACCUACUCUGAAAGAGACUCUCUGUAUAGCUCUGCCCUCCUGAAUUGCAUGUCCAAAUUGCAUUGGAAAAAAAUGAGGAAAAAUUCUGGACUCCCAAGGUAGUAGUUGGAAAAGGGAGGGCUUCAUAAGCCCCCCAGAAGUGUCUUGUGGACCCCCUGAAAAUGCUUCCAGAUCCCCAGUCCUCAGAUCACACCUUGGGAACUACUGUCUGUCACCCUACAGUAAGGGAGGAAACAACAGCAGAACUUCAUGUUAGCUCAGACCAGCUGCAGAUGCUCAUCUGAACUUUGAGAAUGGUCAAAUAAAAGUAAAACCUGAUGGAACACCA
Homo sapiens (human) is the source of this 333-nucleotide long non-coding RNA. NCBI's taxonomy places the organism in Eukaryota, Metazoa, Chordata, Mammalia, Primates, Hominidae. The record is from Ensembl.